UACGUAGGGGGCAAGCGUUGUCCGGAUUUAUUGGGCGUAAAGAGCGUGUAGGCGGCCAUACAGGUCCGUUGUGAAAACUGGAGGCUUAACCUCCAGACGUCGAUGGAAACCGUAUGGCUAGAGUCCGGAAGAGGAGAGUGGAAUUCCUGGUGUAGCGGUGAAAUGCGUAGAUAUCGUAAGGAACACCGGUGGCGAAAGCGGCGUACUGGGUCUUUUCUGACGCUGAGGCACGAAAGCCAGGGUAGCGAACGGG
RNAcentral lists this ribosomal RNA (253 nucleotides) under uncultured bacterium. Its description in RNAcentral is "partial 16S ribosomal RNA". It matches the Rfam family "Bacterial small subunit ribosomal RNA", at positions 524 to 776 of the family's 1533-position model. The record is from RNAcentral.